UGAUCUGAAUAGCCAACAAGA
Molecule: non-coding RNA, 21 nt
Filed under: Caenorhabditis elegans
Lineage: Eukaryota; Metazoa; Nematoda; Chromadorea; Rhabditida; Rhabditidae
Source: RNAcentral